AUGGCCAAGGCAAAGUCCAUGGCGGCGCUACUCGCCGUGGUCCUGGUCCUGGGCGCGUCCGUGGACGUCGCGCACGGCAUCUGCAACAUCUCCAGCGGCGGGAUCCGUGCGUGCCAGCCGGCGGCGGCCAUCCACAACCCGACGGACGCGCCGUCCGCCGACUGCUGCGCGGCGCUGGCGGGGGCCGACCUGCCGUGCCUCUGCCGGUACAAGAACGUCGGCGCCAUGUGGGUGAGGUUCUACAAGAUCGACGUGAAGCGCGCCAUGGCGUUGCCGCGCAAGUGCGGCCUCGCCAUGCCCGCCAACUGCUGA
This 312-nucleotide ribosomal RNA is filed under the name Triticum aestivum (bread wheat). RNAcentral describes it as "partial small subunit ribosomal RNA". Lineage: Eukaryota; Viridiplantae; Streptophyta; Magnoliopsida; Poales; Poaceae. The record is from RNAcentral.